RNAcentral lists this ribosomal RNA (158 nucleotides) under Microsporidium sp. 1199. Its description in RNAcentral is "partial small subunit ribosomal RNA". It matches the Rfam family "Microsporidia small subunit ribosomal RNA", at positions 680 to 807 of the family's 1311-position model. The record is from RNAcentral. Lineage: Eukaryota; Fungi; Microsporidia.
UACCAGUAAAAGAUGCCGACUAUCCUGGCGUGCGGCGUAGGCGGUUCGCCGCCCGUCGGCGCAUGCCGGGAACAGAGAAAUCGAUAAGUGUUCGGGCUCUGGGGAUAGUAUGCUCGCAAGAGUGAAAAUUAAAGAAAUUGACGGAGCUACACCACAAG